GCUUCCUUAGCUCAGUUGGUUAGAGCAUCUGACUGUUAAUCAGAGGGUCUCAGGUUCAAGUCCUGAAGGGAGCGCCA
RNAcentral lists this transfer RNA (77 nucleotides) under Taibaiella soli. RNAcentral describes it as "tRNA-Asn". It matches the Rfam family "tRNA". Rfam says of the family: Transfer RNA (tRNA) molecules are approximately 80 nucleotides in length. Their secondary structure includes four short double-helical elements and three loops (D, anti-codon, and T loops). The record is from RNAcentral. Lineage: Bacteria; Pseudomonadati; Bacteroidota; Chitinophagia; Chitinophagales; Chitinophagaceae. RNAcentral also lists the same sequence under 1 other name.